AAUAUCACCAUAUUAUAGAUAUACAUAGAUCUCGUCUUAAUAUAUAUAUAUAUAUAUACACAUCAUCAUAUAUUAGAGAUGGCAGCAGAUAAAUAUUCUGUUUAAUUCAAUAGUUUAGAUCUUUCUAUACCUUGAAAUUUAUAAAUCACAAAUUUAGUUUAUGCUGUCAGCUGUGUAACUCUAUCUUUGAUUUGUUUAGUAGGCAUAACUUCAAAAUAAUAGAAAACUGUUG
This 232-nucleotide long non-coding RNA is filed under the name Salvia miltiorrhiza (redroot sage). Its description in RNAcentral is "long non-coding RNA (SMIL_LNC012091)". Lineage: Eukaryota; Viridiplantae; Streptophyta; Magnoliopsida; Lamiales; Lamiaceae. The record is from RNAcentral.